RNAcentral lists this small RNA (120 nucleotides) under Staphylococcus aureus. RNAcentral describes it as "Transcript". The record is from RNAcentral. Lineage: Bacteria; Bacillati; Bacillota; Bacilli; Caryophanales; Staphylococcaceae.
AGGGUUCAUAACUGUUUUCUUCCCUUUAUGGUUACCAGUUCACGCAGAUGGCCCUAUUAGUACUUUUUUACAAAUGGUUUAAUUGUUGGCUUAUUCGCUAUACUUGGACACGUUUAUCCU